AAAAUCCAUAUCCACCUUGUGUGCAAUGUCAUCUCACUGGAGGUCAGCGGCUGUAA
This 56-nucleotide ribosomal RNA is filed under the name Mortierella alpina. RNAcentral describes it as "partial 18S ribosomal RNA". Lineage: Eukaryota; Fungi; Mortierellomycota; Mortierellomycetes; Mortierellales; Mortierellaceae. The record is from RNAcentral.